UACAGAGGUCUCAAGCGUUGUUCGGAUUCAUUGGGCGUAAAGGGUGCGUAGGUGGCAGGGUAAGUCGGAUGUGAAAUCCCGGGGCUCAACCCCGGAACUGCAUUCGAUACUGCUUUGCUAGAGUACUGGAGAGGAGAUUGGAAUUUACGGUGUAGCAGUGAAAUGCGUAGAUAUCGUAAGGAAGACCAGUGGCGAAGGCGGAUCUCUGGACAGUUACUGACACUGAGGCACGAAGGCCAGGGGAGCAAACGGG
Molecule: ribosomal RNA, 253 nt
Filed under: uncultured bacterium
Lineage: Bacteria
Description: partial 16S ribosomal RNA
Rfam family: Bacterial small subunit ribosomal RNA
Source: RNAcentral